UACGAAGGGGGCUAGCGUUGUUCGGAAUUACUGGGCGUAAAGCGCACGUAGGCGGACUAUUAAGUCAGGGGCGAAAUCCCGGGGCUCAACCCCGGAACUGCCUUUGAUACUGGUAGUCUCGAGUCCGGAAGAGGUGAGUGGAAUUCCAGGUGUAGCGGUGAAAUGCGUAGAUAUCUGGAGGAACACCGGUGGCGAAGGCGGCAUCCUGGACCGGCAUUGACGCUGAGGCGCGAAAGCUAGGGGAGCAAACGGG
RNAcentral lists this ribosomal RNA (253 nucleotides) under uncultured bacterium. RNAcentral's name for it is "partial 16S ribosomal RNA". It matches the Rfam family "Bacterial small subunit ribosomal RNA", at positions 524 to 776 of the family's 1533-position model. The record is from RNAcentral.